This 714-nucleotide ribosomal RNA is filed under the name uncultured bacterium. RNAcentral describes it as "bacterial SSU rRNA". It matches the Rfam family "Bacterial small subunit ribosomal RNA", at positions 61 to 773 of the family's 1533-position model. The record is from RNAcentral.
GUCGAACGAAGCAUUUAAGGACGAUUCUUCGGAUGAGGACUUUUAUGACUGAGUGGCGGACGGGUGAGUAACGCGUGGGUAACCUGCCCUAUACAGGGGGAUAACAGUUAGAAAUGACUGCUAAUACCGCAUAAGCGCACUAGAACCGCAUGGUUCGGUGUGAAAAACUGAGGUGGUAUAGGAUGGACCCGCGUCUGAUUAGCUUGUUGGUGGGGUAACGGCUCAUCAAGGCGACGAUCAGUAGCCGGCCUGAGAGGGCGACCGGCCACAUUGGGACUGAGACACGGCCCAAACUCCUACGGGAGGCAGCAGUGGGGAAUAUUGCACAAUGGGGGAAACCCUGAUGCAGCGACGCCGCGUGAGUGAAGAAGUAUUUCGGUAUGUAAAGCUCUAUCAGCAGGGAAGAAAAUGACGGUACCUGACUAAGAAGCCCCGGCUAACUACGUGCCAGCAGCCGCGGUAAUACGUAGGGGGCAAGCGUUAUCCGGAUUUACUGGGUGUAAAGGGAGCGUAGGUGGCAUGGUAAGCCAGAAGUGAAAACCCAGGGCUCAACUCUGUGGAUUGCUUUUGGAACUAUCAAGCUAGAGUGCUGGAGGGGUAAGCGGAAUUCCUAGUGUAGCGGUGAAAUGCGUAGAUAUUAGGAGGAACACCGGUGGCGAAGGCGGCUUACUGGACAGAAACUGACACUGAGGCUCGAAAGCGUGGGGAGCAAAC